This 229-nucleotide ribosomal RNA is filed under the name uncultured bacterium. Its description in RNAcentral is "partial 16S ribosomal RNA". It matches the Rfam family "Bacterial small subunit ribosomal RNA", at positions 568 to 796 of the family's 1533-position model. The record is from RNAcentral.
UCCGUAGGUGGAUUAAUAAGUCAGAGGUGAAAUCCUGCAGCUCAACUGUAGAACUGCCUUUGAUACUGUUAAUCUUGAGUCAUUAUGAAGUGGUUAGAAUGUGUAGUGUAGCGGUGAAAUGCAUAGAUAUUACACAGAAUACCGAUUGCGAAGGCAGAUCACUAAUAAUGUACUGACACUGAGGGACGAAAGCGUGGGGGGCGAACAGGAUUAGAUACCCUGGUAGUCC